UACAGAGGUCCCAAGCGUUGUUCGGAUUCACUGGGCGUAAAGGGUGCGUAGGCGGUCGGGUAAGUCUGACGUGAAAUCUCCGGGCCUAACCCGGAAACUGCGUCGGAUACUAUCCGGCUAGAGGAUUGGAUGGGAGACUGGAAUACUUGGUGUAGCAGUGAAAUGCGUAGAUAUCAAGUGGAACACCAGUGGCGAAGGCGAGUCUCUGGACAAUUCCUGACGCUGAGGCACGAAAGCCAGGGGAGCAAACGGG
RNAcentral lists this ribosomal RNA (253 nucleotides) under uncultured bacterium. Its description in RNAcentral is "partial 16S ribosomal RNA". It matches the Rfam family "Bacterial small subunit ribosomal RNA", at positions 524 to 776 of the family's 1533-position model. The record is from RNAcentral.